CAUAGCGACUAUCGUGGCAUAUCAAUAAGCGGAGGAAAAGAAACUAACAAGGAUUCCCCUAGUAACGGCGAGUGAAGCGGGAAGAGCUCAAAUUUGAAAUCUUAAAGGGUUUCCCUUUACGAAUUGUAGUUUAAAGAAGUGUUUUCUGUUGGAGUUUCGGUAAAAGUUCUUUGGAAUAGGACAUCAUAGAGGGUGAGAAUCCCGUAUUUGACCGUUACUUUCCAGCUGUGUGAUACACUUUCAAAGAGUCGGAUUGUUUGGGAAUGCAGUCCAAAAUGGGUGGUAAAUUUCAUCUAAAGCUAAAUAUUGGCGAGAGACCGAUAGCGAACAAGUACCGUGAGGGAAAGAUGAAAAGAACUUUGAAAAGAGAGUUAAACAGUACGUGAAAUUGUCAAAAGGGAAGCGUUUGACACCAGUGUUGUUUAGUUGAAAAUCAAUUCAAUAAUUUUUGAUUUUGAAGUAGUAUUGACUUCAUCAGCUUGCUGCUUUCUUUUCAGAAAUUAUUGAAUGCACUUUUCAGUUAACAAGUCAACAUCAAUUUCUUUUGUUGUAAAAGGGUAAGAGGAAGGUGGCUUACGCUUCGGCGUAAGUGUUUAUAGCCUUUUACCUCUGCAAUCGGAGAGAUUGAGGACCGCAGCGUAGACUCCUUCUGGGGUUAGAUACACUUGUGCUAAGCUAUAGCCUUGUAUAGACAACUUGUUGACUAUGCUCAGUCAUGUAGCUUACUCGCUUGUGCUAUUUUACCUACGCUUAGGAUGUUGAUAUGCAUGACUGAUAU
Molecule: ribosomal RNA, 778 nt
Filed under: uncultured Neocallimastigales
Lineage: Eukaryota; Fungi; Neocallimastigomycota; Neocallimastigomycetes; Neocallimastigales
Description: partial large subunit ribosomal RNA
Rfam family: Eukaryotic large subunit ribosomal RNA
Source: RNAcentral